AACAUUUGGUGUCCACCGUGGGGCCUCAGUAAUAUUUUCCCAGGCCACACAAAAAUCAUCUCCCACCCCAACUGUGCAUGUCCAAAUCAUCUCCCAGCCAAAGUGAUCCACCUCCGCCACCAGAUUUAACCCAAUUACUCGCAAUGGUGGAGGCUCUCUAUCAACAUAAUGAAACAUUGCAAGAUAGUGUUCAUAUUUUGCAAACACGUGGUCAACAAGAUGAGGAUACAAAGUAGGAGCUUCUGGAUCCCAACCAUUAUCUGAGGCGAUCUGAGACGAUCAAGUUCUAGAGAACUUGAAACCAUAAUUUUUGGUAUCUUUUGAUGAUACAAUCGAUCCACAGGAACACAUUCUUGCGAUCAAUAAUCAAAUGGAAAUAGUAGGGGCUUCCGACUCCCUUAAGUGUAAACUCAUGGUAGGUACCUUUAAAUAAAGGGGCUCUACGUUGGUAUAUGAGCUUACCCAAAUUCUUGGUCAUUAGUUAUCAGGACCUAACUAAAAAGAUGGUACAACACUUUUCAGCAAGCAAACAUAGAAAAAUGUCGACUACCAGUUUAUUCAACAUCCGACAUGGGUACACAGAAUCUCUCAGAGAGUAUCUGGAGAGGUUCAACGAAGAAACCAUUAACAUGUCUCACCCAAACCAGGAGACGUUUGUGGGGGUGUUUCAACAUGGCCUCGAAGUCGGUCAGUUCAAUGAAUCCCUAACGAAGAAGCUGACAUCCAGCAUGGAUGAGGUUAUUACCAUAUUAGAAUUCUAUAUUAAAGGGGAGGAGAAUAACAUGGAAAAGAUGUCUCGAGAUGCCAAGUAAGAAAUGCGAGCUAAAAAAGAGGGAGUCGAGCAUAGGAGGAGUACCUAGAGACUGGACCAUGAUGAGACCAUCUCGGUGACCAUUUGACAAGGAUGUCGAGUAUAUGUCACUGAAUGCAAGACGUGAAGAUAUUUUGAAAGAAGCCUAUCGUCUCAAAUUACUCCCCACCCCGACGUUCCCAAUAGGUGUUCACGCCAUGAUGGUAAAAGGCGAGAAUGCAUGGUGUGCAUACCACAGACUUCGUGGUCAUCACACAGAAGAUUGUCAUCAGCUCAUGAGAUAAAUCGAGAUCUUAAUUUAGAGAGAUCAUUUGUUGUCCUAUGUGAAAGAUGUUAGAGGACAUCCAGGAAAGAGAAGUCCUCCCAUGGAGGAUGCCAGCUCGGAAAAUCCUAUCUAAAAGAAAGGGGAAAUACGGAUAAGGUCCCCGAAACCCGAGUGACCCGUCAUAUAUUAAAUUACAUUGUUGGAGGAUACGCAGGAGGAGAAGAAACCAGUUCAUCCAGGAAAAGAUAUGCCUGGGGAAUGAUACAUACCAGACAGAAGCCAUUUUCAGAAGAAGAUGGAAAUUCGUCCAAAAUCAAUUUCUCUAGAAAGGAUUUCGAAGGAGUAUUGGCUCACGAGAAUGACCUAAUGGUAUUUAAAGUACAAAUUCAUGACUGGAAUGUGUAGCGAUUCUUGGUAGAUCCGGGAAGUUCAGCAGACGUUUUGUAUUGGGACGCAUUUAAGGGUAUGAGUUUUGAUAUCGUCAAGUUGUUACCUUUUAAAGUUACCUUGUCGAUUUCUCCAGAGAACAGGUGCAAGUUCUAGGGAAUUUUCCCAUGAUAAAAACUUUUGGCAGUGGGGACAACACAAAAAGUGUCAAGGUUAAGUACUUAAUUGUCAAUGUUGCUUCUCCUUACAACAUUACUAUUGGCAGACCAUCAUUUAAUGCUUUGGAGGCGGCAUUAUCCAUUUUAUGUCUCACGCUGAAGUAUCCUCUCAAAAAUGGCCACGUAUGGGUGAUAAAGGGUGAUCAAGGAUUAGCAAGGAAAUGUUAUAAGGAUAAUCUGAAGCUCAAAAAGUAAGCUCAAGCUAAUGAUACAAUAAAAGGUGAUCAUUUCAAUGUGAAUCUAGUGCAUAUUGACCCAAAUGAAGACCCGGUGGAAGAUAGUCGGACACCCGUCGAGGAUGUGAAGAAGGUGCAAAUCGGUGCUCAAGUACCCCAGACAACUCAGAUUGGUUCUAAUUUGUCUCUGGAGGAGUAAGACGGGAUCUUAAGAAUAUCAAAUGAGAACGUAGAUUUGUUCGCAUGGAAAUCGAUUAACAUGCUCGGAAUCAGUCCAAACAUAGUUUUUCGUCAUCUAGCGUCGGAUGCAGCCAUCAAAUAGGGGUAUAUUGUUAGUAAGGUUCUAGGGGAGCAUAAUUGUGUUAUCAGAAGAUUAAGCGUCUUGCGUUGGAACUAGUGAUUACAACUCAGAAGUUGAGAUACUAUUUCCAGGGACACCCUAUCAUUGUCAAAACCAAUUACCUUAUCAAACAGGUCCUGAAGAAAUCAGACUUUGCAGGGAGAAUGGUGCCAUGGGCAGUAGAAUUGUCAAAGUAUGAUAUAAAGUUUGUGCCUCUGAAUGACAUCAAACCACAAGUGUUUGUUGAUUCCCUGGUUAAACUGAGUGCUCCGACCUCGGAAGAGUCACCAUAUAGACGGACUUUAUCCAUGGAUGGAUCCUCUAAUCUUAAAGGAAGUGAAGUCAGGAUAAUGUUGGAAAGAUCGGGAGACCGGGUCUUAAAAUAUUCUUUGUGUUUUAGUUUGAAGGCUAGCAAUAACCAGACGGAGUAUGAAGCUUUAAUUGCAGGAAUGAGUUUGGCAAAGGAGGUUGGAAUAACACACUUGCUUGUUCAAACUAAUUCUUAGUUAACUUCCAGUCAGGUUAGAUGAGAGUUUCAGAUGAAGGAUCCAUUGUUAAUCAGAUACUUGCAAAAAGCUCUCAAUAUGUUUCAGACAUUUGUAGAAUUCUAGGUAAACCACAUUCCUAGGGAGGAGCGUCGGAGCCAGCCUCUUAGUUUGAUUAGUGAGUCCCAAAGGUUCCGGUGUAAAUAAGACUAUAAUUUAAGAAACCUAGGAAGCACCGAGCACAGAGGUUAAAUAAGUUAUGACAAUGAAUAAUCUGAGAGGUUGGAUGAUACAUAUCAUUCAGUAUUUGACCCAGAAUGAGUUACCAGAAGAAGAGGUAGAAAUAGAAAAUGAGAUUAUUCUAUUCGGGAUGAAAAAAAGAUUGAAUGAGACUAAGGGGUUACGGGUCAAUUACUUUUACGAGACCUUAUGGAUUUAUCAUACUACCCCUCCUUCUAGCGCUAUUAUUUCAAUGGUACCGAUAGAAAUUAAUACUCCGGCCUAGAAGCGUAUUGUUAUUAUUGAAAAUGUUAACUCAGAUGGUCUGGACAAUUCUGCAAAUCUGUUGGAUGAAGUCAGGGAAACAGCUGAGCUAAGGGACUUCGUGGCCAAACAUAGAGUUUCCAUGGGAUUUAAUAAUAAAGUAAGGCAUAGAGGAUUUUACAAAGGAAAUUUGGUGUUAAAGAGGGUGACUGGUCCUAAGAAUAAAGGCAAGUUAGCUCCAAAUUAGGAAGGACCUUUUCAUAUUCGUCAGAGGUUAAAUAAUGGGGCUUAUAAGUUAGAAAGUUUGAACGUUGUUGAAUUACCUAGGGUCUGGAUUGUAACCAAUCUUAAGUUUUAUUUCAGCUAAACUAUGUAAUAGACAUCAUGAGUAAAAUUGUGGGAAUGCACUAUUUUCCCUUGCAAGGGCAAGGGUUUUUAAUGAGGCACCCAUAGUUAAAACACUUGUAUUGUAAAUUUAUAAAGCAGGUAAAAAGGUCCUUGGACAUAAUUCGAGAUUAAGCCCAAAUCCAAAAAGUAAUCAUCCAAAGGUUGGGAACCUCUGCCACAAUCGGCUUCCAGCUAAGUUAAUUUAAACCUCUUGUCUAACUAAAGUCCAGGUUAAUUUAAACCUCUGACAUAAUCAGUUGCGGUUGGACUAAGAUAAUUGAAACCUCUAGCCUAACUGAAGUCCAAGUUAAUUGAAACCUCUGGCAUAAUCGGCUGCGGUCGGCUAAGUUAAUUGAAACCUCUGGCUAACUGAAGUCCAAGUUAAUUGAAAUCUUUGGCAUAAUCAGAUGCGGUCGGGCUAAGUUAAUUGAAACCUCUGGCAUAACUGAAGUCCAAGUUAAUUGAAACCUCUGGCAUAAUCGGUUGCGGCCGGGCUAAGUUAAUUGAAACUUAUGGCCUAACUGAAGUUCAAGUUAAUUAAAACCUUAGGCAUAAUCGGUUGUGUACAUGCUAAGUUAAUUAAAACCUCUGGCCUAACUGAAGUCCAAGUUAAUUGAAACGUCUGGCAUAAUCAGUUGCGGUCAGGUUAUCUUUAAAAUCUCUGAAGCCGGUUAUGUAAGCAAUAAACCUCUAGUAGAGGUAUGUUUAAUAGAGUUAGCUAAGUAAGAAGAACUUAUGGCCUGGAAUUAAAAUCUUGGACUUAAGUAAAUGAUCACAUAAAUUAACAUAGUCAAAACAUUACAAGCACAAGACAUAUAUGGUCAAAACAAUCAGGAUUUUAGAAAACAAAUAAAAGGGUAAUUAAUAAAAAAUGGCCCUGAAAAGGCCUAAACAUCUAACAUAAAAACAAAAUAUUGUUCAAAGGUAAAAAAGGGCACAUCACUACGAAUGGCCAAUUACAACACAUUAGCAAAAUUAAACUUCAUAAUGGUUGUUUUUCUGAGCUUCAUGCAUUGGAUUGUCCACUACCGCGUCCUUCAAACCCUCUGUAUAAGGGGAAUCAUCCUUCAUGUCGACCAAUUUCCCAUCUACCACAGUCUUAAAAAAGUCCAUCCUUGUCACAUCCAGGUCGGGCAUGAUGCAUAAAGCUUGAGAUUUAGAUCCCUCGAAGGCAUCAUUUCCGACAGAGAGAAAAUCCACCUGGGCAUCUUGUAGAGAAUUAUUUAAAGUCUCAUUGAGAGCCCGAACCUGUUCUACUUCUCAGAUUAAGCCGACAUUGGUCAUUUCCAGCUCUGAGCACUUGGACUCAACGGUUUCCUUUUGCUUAGUCAUUUCUGAUAACUGGUAUUCUGAUGUCUCUUUAUGUUUCUUCAUCUCUGCAACUUGCUUGUUUAGCUCAUCUACCUGGAGAGUCUGGGCUUUUAGAUCAUCCUUCAACUGGUUUAUGUCUUUUGUAAGACGAGUCAUAUUAUAUUCAUAGGCACCACCUACUUAAAAAAUACCCCGAGUCAUGACUACACACCUUAUUAGAUAAGCUCUGAGAUUUUAUGUCGACUACUGAGCACCUAUUGACUUCACCUUCUCAACGUCCUCAGUAGCAUUCAGAUGAUCAUAAAGAUAGCGCAAACUGUAAAAACUAUUGGACCAGAACUUGAAUUCAGAUGAUGGGUUAGUUUUGUGACUAUUACCUUAAUUCUGCAUCAAGGUGGUGAUAGCCAGGUCGGCAUGGUUGACAUCAUCACUCAUUAAGGUCUUCAUUUUCUUUGGAGAUACCGACUUAGGAUCCUCAGAGGAAGGAAUGUAGGUAGCUUGAGGCUCAGAUGAAGUGGGAGUUGUUUUGAUAACUUCCAUCUUCUUCCUCUUAAGAGACCGAGUUUGAAUACCUAUCAUAGGACAUUUAGAAGUCGACUGAUCCCCAUGCCUCACUCUGACUUCAACCAUCAAUUUCUUUUGUUAGGAAAGUUUGAGGUUUCUCAUUUUCACUAAAAGGGAACAGUGCAAGCAGAAAUCAAAAAACAUGAGGAUUAAUAAAGUUAGAAAGAGCAAUAAAUAAGCACAUAUAAGCAUUACCCAAGAAAUUAGAAGUUUGUCCUGGAUCUUCAGUCAUCUGUAGUAAAUCCUUAACUUUAACUACCCGGAAGGCGUCCAAAACGACUAAAGAUCGGACUACCAUAGCAUUCAACUUAUCAUAAUCGAAGUCGGAGACUCUCAAAGGACUGUCCGACCAAUAAAUCAGGAAACAUUACUUCUCGUCCAGCGCAUACAUGACCUGGGGACAUCUCUUGCCGCUCUUCACUCGAAAUAAUUUGUCCUCAAAACCCUUAUAAUUGGUAGUAUAAGCUUAUAGGUAGCUUUUUCUCAGAAUCCUGCUAAGGGAAACCCAACCUCCUUUUUUCGCCCCUUUCAACUCAAAAAAUGAGAAAAACAAGCCUAAGGUAGGCAUUGUGUCCAUUGUGUCACAGGCAUUUCAAAGGCCUUAAUAAAAACCUAACCAUUUGGGCAUAAUUGAGAAUGGGCUAUAUUUAGGAUUUUUAGGAGGUUAGAUUCAAAAUUAGUAUAUAGGAUGCGAAUUUUGAAGUCCUCGAUCACUCCUGAAUAGAAAUAGAAGUACUCAUCAGACACUCAUUUUGGUCGAGUAAGGCAGACACGCUCACCAUCUACACAAGGUGCCAGUAUAAUGUCUUCUUAAUUUCAGAUUGAAGAGACUAGGGUAUUAGAACGAAGCUUCGAGAUGUAGCUUUUGUCAAUGAUAAUAUGGUUGUAACCUAGAACUUCUUUAUCUAUGAAUGAUCAUGUAGCUUCCAUUUGAGUGUCCAAAAAACCUGAGUACGAAGACUCUGAGUCAGUGUUACUAAUAGGUGAAGGGAUUUCACCAUAAACUUCUCUAAUAAUCCGAUCAAAAUCCAUUCGACUCAAAUAACCCUCACACUCUCACAUGUAAGCAUUCCAAAUCUUAUUUUUAUCACUAGUAGUAAGAGAAAUUGAACAUUCUUUCGAAUGACUAUAGCUUCGUAUUGAAGACAUAAUAAAAGAACAAAAAAAAAAGCAAAGAGGGAAAAGAAAAUGAUACUUGGGGCUUGAGAUAGCAGAUGAGUAGAGAGAGAGAGAGAGAGAGAGAGAGAGAGAGAUGCAGAAAAAAAGUGUGUCCGCAAAUACUUAGGGAGAAGAUCAAUAGUUUUGGUAGUAAACAAAAUGAAAAAACAAGGUCCUUUUAAAGAGCAAGUUUGUUACGGUCAAAAUUCACAUAAAAAAGAGAAAUCAUGACAAGUGAGAGUUUCCAUAAAAACAAUCAUGAUGAGGAAAAAGAAAGAUUUGUCAUCAUUAAAAUGACUGGCACCGCAGUAGUUUGCCGAGUAGGAGGUCGGUCUAAGGAAGAGGGAAUUCCGAGACUAUCUUGACCGAACACUUCAAUCCAAUAGGACAUCGCGAUCGAGGGGCUUAUGUACAUCCGAAAUUCCUUGAGGCUGAGCUUUUGAGAACCGAGUACAAAGAGACAAGAAGUUCAGGUAGUCAUAACCUUACACAAGUCGGUACUCGGUUAGGAUUCAAUUAGGCACACAAUAAGCACGUCGGAGUUGACCACGUAAAAUCACUAGAGAACAAAGUCAUAUCUGAUGCCAGUGCUGGAAAAUCAUAUGAACGGUCACAAUGGACGAUUAUCAUACGUCUACAUGAUGGCAGGGAUUACAGAAGCUGGGGGAAAAGGAGUUAUGAGAUGAUUAUAGAAGGCGACGAAUGUUAUUCCAAAUUCCCUUAAUGAGGAAUAUGAAGAUACACCCAUUUAAGGGUCAUUGAUGGUGGAAGGAGUAUAAAAGGAGACUUCCUCCAAGAGGAUGAGGGAUACUAGAACGAUCAACAAGGGAUACCUGCAACCAAUUAACCGAUAAUCUAAGGCUCUUCCUGGUUUGCAUCGGGAAAUUCAACAUUUUAGUGUUUUUAGCAAUAACAAUGUAUAACCAAUCAAUGAAUAACAGAUUUAUCUCUUUGUAAGUUAUUUUUUCCUUUUUUCUAGCUUGCUUUGUUUUCUUCAUCACCUUCAUAGAACUUGUGCAUGAUUAAUGCACCACACACACACACAUGCACACACACACACGCGCACACACACACACGCACGCACGCACACAUGCCCCCCCCCCACACACACACACGCGUGUACGCGCACGCACACACACACGCACACACGACGCGUGUACGCGCACACACGCACACCACACACACACACGACGCACACACGAACCACACACGGCACACACGCACACGGCACAGCACACACACACACACGCACACACACGCACACAAUAAUUAAUAUUAUUACUUUUUAACAAUAAUUUUCCUAUUACAUAUAAUAUCUUUAAUUAUUUAUGAUAUUAUUUUUACUUUUCCUCUCUCUAUAAUAAUUAUCUAAGAGUAGUUUUGAUAAAAAUGCAGUUAAUACUACCUUGAACUAAAUAAUAAUUAAAUAAAUAAAAAAUUAUCAAGAAAAUGACACUUAGAAUAUUAUAUAUAUAUAUAUAUAUAUAUAUAUAUAUAUAUAUAAUAUAUAUAUAUAUAUAUAUAUAUAUAUAUAUAUAUAUAUUAAUAUAUAUAUAUAUAUAUAUAUAUAUAUGAGUAAAAAAGUUAAAUAGUUCAAUUUUCAAUACACUGAGUGUACAAACUUAAAAGUAUAAUUCUAUAAUGAUUAAUUUUAAUUUUUAAUAUAAUUUUUUUAAUUUUGAUUUCUAAUUAAUAUUAUUUUAUCAUUUUAAAUACUUAAUAGUGUGUAUUUUCAUAAAAAUAUAUUACUUUAUUUAUUUAUUUAUUUCUAAACUGUAUGAAAUAACCCAUUGGAUCAUUUAUCACGAGACUAAGAGAAUAUUACGCAUUUGUUUGAUCUACUGAAGCUUUUCGCACGAGUACCCAUAUAUAGCAUGGAAUUUUGUAGUGUAAUGAUAACUCUAUCAAAAAUAACUAUUACCCCCUUGAAAUGAAAAUAAAAUGUCAAUAUUACGAGGUUAGCCUUUUUUCUGUUUUACAAUUAUUGGCUAGAAUGGUGGUUGCAUUUAGUAUUUAGUUAUUUGGACCAUGGAUGUGUGCGUCGGAAGUAAAUCUGAUUGCCAAUAGAUUGAGAGGGUCUAUCAUAUGCAUAGCUGUUUCAUUUCAAUUCUUACCUACCUCAACAUCGACUGACCAAUGACUAGGAGUAUAGUCAUUUGUCUUAUAGUAGUAGUACUGUACAUUUAUUUCAAAUUAUAUACUCUCUUCGUUUAUUUUUAGAUGUUAUUUUUAUUUUUUAAACAAUUUUUAUUGACAAUUAAAAAGAAACCAGGGAGUAUGAAAUUAUCAAUUUCGCACAAAUUAAAAUUUAUAGUUUUUUCUAUAGAUAAGUGGUACAAAAAGGGGAUAAGUGUAAUUAUCAAUAUUGUCUUUGAAAUCGUGUCUGGCUGCCUGACCUCAAAUAUGUCAAAAUUAGGAGAGAUAAAAUGGAUCCGACUCGUUGGGAAUGACCGUUUUGCCGCACUUUAGUGCAGGACGGUCAAAGAUUUAGGUUCUUACUCUCUAAUGUAUCUAUCCGCAUCCUCAAUUAUGUUCUCCCUAUCCCAUCCCUUAUUUUAGGUUUUUUGUGGGACGAGUUUAAAUGGGACGGACAUAUUCAUUUAACACCCCAGUCAAAAUUAUACUUAAAUAAAACUUCAUAAAAUAUUUGUUUAUUUAAAUCGUGAUUAAAUAGAAUCUUUGUUAAUAAAACUUCAUAAAAUAUUUAUUAAAUAUUUGUAUCUUUGAUAAAAUAUAACUAAUCUAUCUAUAAUCUUCAAAAACUUGAGACGGUUAUGAGUUGUAUCAUUUCAAUGCAACAUUAAUUAUUUUUUUCUCAAUAUAUCUUCUAUUAUUUAUUAUUAUUUCUUUCAAUUAUUUAAAAAAAAUUCAUCUAUAAUAAAUAAAGGAUAAUAUCAUAAAGUCAUAUAAUUUAUAUUUCUCGUACAACAAUAAUUAUAUUUUUUAAUUUGCAUGAAAGAUACAUAAAGUUUUAUAAUUUGAAACAAAGGAAGUAAUAUUGUAUAUAGGAAAGACAAAGGAAACAAUAUUAUAUGGAAUAAUAAUUAUAUUUUUUAAUUUGCAUGAAAGAUACAUAAAGUUUUAUAAUUUGAAACAAAGGAAGUAAUAUUGUAUAUAGGAAAGACAAAGGAAACAAUAUUAUAUGGAAUAAGAAAUUAUGAAUGACUUUUCAAUAUUAUUAUUUAUUUAUUAUAAAUGCAAUAUUAUUAUUUAUUUAUUAUAAAUGAAAAAAAAAUGUUAAAAUUCUAAAGUGCGAGACAAAAAAAAAAAUCUUUUUACAAAAUGACUAGGAGUAGAGUAAGGUCUUCAUGGGGAUAGGAGUUGUAUAGACGGACAAGACAAAAGUCACUAAACCUCUAAACUGAUUAAAAUCCUUGCAAAACUUGAAGAACAGAUUAAAAUAAUGUAGUAUUUCGUGAGCCAAUGCUUAGUAUUUUAUGAGCCGCGUUUGAACAGAUUAAAAAUACUCAUGUUUAUUUGCACAAAACUAGUAAAAUUGCAUAUUAAUAAAGAUUGUGGCUGAGCCACGGAUACAAAUAUUUCAGAAACAAAGCGAAAUGAAAUUUUGGGAGAGGGGUGGGAUCAAUUGCUCACAGAGCAUACUAAAAACCUAAAUAUAUUGCACACAGUUAUUGAAAACAACAAAAACACAAAAUUAUCCUUUGCUGUAAAAUCAAACACAGCCAAUAUGACUGCUGAGAUUCUCUUUCCAUAAACCCUUUCACUUGGCAAGCUCAUUACGGAUUUGCUUGGCUGCUGCAACCAAGUUGGUGAGGGCAGGCUUAACCUCUGAGUACUUGCGGGUUUUGAGCCCACAGUCAGGGUUGACCCACAAUAUGUUCUUCUCAAGCACGGCAAGCAUCUUGUUAAUCCUGUCAGCAAUCUCUUCAGUAGGUGGUAUUCUUGGGGAGUGGAUGUCAUACACACCAGGUCCAAUUCCAGCACCAUAAACAACUCCUUCACGGAACACUGACAGAAGCUUUUCGUCAGAACGGGAGUUCUCAAUGGUGAUAACAUCGGCAUCCAUAUUAAUGAUGGAGUGAAUGAUGUCGUUGAAGUUUGAGUAGCACAUGUGAGUGUGGAUCUGUAAAUAUGAAAGUUUAUUACAAUGUAUGGAAAUAGAAAAGGAGAAAAUUAGAACCUAAUGACUUGAAAGCCAAACAUACCUGAGUGGAAUCCUGAACACCAACAUUGGUGAUUCUGAAGGAAUGGACAGCCCAGUCCAAGUAGUGAGCAUGUUCUGACUUCCUCAAUGGAAGUCCUUCUCUCAAGGCAGCCUCAUCAAUUUGGAUAACACCAAUACCACCCUUUUCAAGGUCUUCUACUUCAUCCUUGAUAGCCAAAGCAAUUUGAUAGCAGGUCUCAGAUCUGCAAAUAGAAUCACAUACACCAGGUUUAAAAUGACAUAAUAUGGUAAAUGCUGAUUAUCUCUUUUUUAAAGUGAUAAGGGGUCUAGUUUAUACCUAGGUUGGUCAACUCUAACAAAGGACCAGUUGAGAAUUGUGACAGGGCCAGUAAGCAUUCCCUUCAUUGGACGCUUGGUAAAGCUCUGAGCAAGAGCUGACCAGAAGACAGUCAUUGCCUUUGGGCGGCUCACAUCACCAUAGAUGAUUGGUGGCUUGACACAACGGGAUCCAUAUGAUUGCACCCACCCAUUGGCGGUAAAGGCAAAGCCUGACAACUGCUCGCCAAAGUACUCAACCAUGUCGUUCCUCUGCAACAAAAUGACACCAACAAUUAGUUAGACGUACAAUUUUUGAAUCAGCAAUCUAACAAGAGCAUAAGUAUGUCGAAAGCAGUUGCUCUUCAAAACAAAAGAAGUGAAGAGUAUAAUUAUAAAAGUUAACUAAAUCCAAGUGUAAUAAAGCUAUCUUCACUUAAAAAGACUAAAUGAAAGUCACUAGAAGAUGAUGAAAGUUGACCUCUGGCUCUCCGUGUACGAGGACAUCAAUAUCAAGCUCUUCUUGAAGUUGAACAACUUGGCGGAUUUCCUCCUUGAUUGCCUUGAUGUACUCUUCCUCAGAGAUCCUGAAUAAAACAACAAGAAUCAAUAAAGGAAUGCACAAUGUCAAAUAAACAAGGCAGAGAGAUCCACAAUUGUAGCAUUAUCUUACUUCUUAGCCUUGUAUUCACGACGCACCCUCCUAAGUUCUACAGUCUGAGGGAAUGAUCCAAUAGUGGUGGUUGGGAGAAUUGGAAGGUUAAGCUUCUUUUGUUGGGCAUCCAAUCUGGCACUGACAUUAGUAGCACGGCGAUGGUCAGAACCCUUCAAUGCAGCAGCCUGAGAGUUGAACAGAAAAGGUAUAAUUAAUACCUCCACAUACACAUGUAAACAAAAUCAGUAGUUAAACAGAGAGAAGAAAAAAUAAGCACUCACAGCCUUCUGAACAGCCUCGUUAGUCACUCUUGGAGAGGACUUUCUUGAAGCCUGAGCUGCAGCAUUAGCAGAGAAGAAGGCCUGAAAAUGAAAAUGCAUUAACUCAGGUGAAUUAUGUAGUGAAACAAACAGGAAUUUGCAUUUGUAAAUAGAACUUUUAUCUGAAACACUCAAAAGUCACAAACAAACUAUUGACAGUUGCAUAUAUUGCUUGCCACUGCUAACAAUUGUCUGAUGUCUAUUGACAUUGGUUAUUAAUAUUAUAGGCACUAGUUAUUCAUAUUACAGGUACCCAUUACUUAACUCUGAUUCUCGUGUUACACUUUUCUAUUCUUCCUGAUUCUCUUAAUUGUGCAGUUAUAUUAUUAUUAUUAUUAUUAUUAGAUAAAAUACCACAAUGUCAGUAGGAAACAAACAAUCAAACUAUGUUGAGACAAUAUUUCAAAUGUGACAUGAAAUGGAAGAAAUGGAUAUUACCUCAUCCUUGUUGCCAGAAACUGCAUUAGCCAAUGCAUUUACUUCAACAACUUUUUGGGCAGCAAAAGCUAGCCAUGACUUAAUUUCAUCAUCCAACUUGGUCUCGUUAACAAGAUCCACAGCAGUGUGAAGAAGUGAGCUGGAUGUGGAUACAACAACUCUCUCUGCAUAUGGUUUUUAAAUUAGAUACAUCAAUUGAAAAUGUUUACUUCAAAGACUCCCAAACUUUCCUAUGUAGUGAAUGUACAAUGUUCAAGGAAUACCUUUGCCCACAAUGGCAGCAAGAGUGUCUAAAGUUUUGAGAGAAUCAGCAAGAUCAUUUGCCCAAAUGUUCCUUCCAUCAACCACUCCAGCAAAGAUCAAUUUAUCACUAGGAAAUCCAGCCUUGAUCAAAUCAAUAGUCUUAGCUCCACGGACUAAAUCAAAUCCAUAUGCGUUGACACCACUCAAAGAUGUAAGGGUCUUGUAUGCUUCGGCGGUAAGAUCAGCAAAGUAGGUCUCAACAAGUACAUGCAGACCAGAAAGAGCAGGUGUAAGCUCAGCAUAUGCAUCGGUAAAUGCUUGCAACUUGUGAGAUUCAAGAUCCAAGACAAGUGUGGGUUCAUCAAAUUGAAUAAAUUGAGCACCAGCUGC
Molecule: long non-coding RNA, 13072 nt
Filed under: Lathyrus oleraceus (garden pea)
Lineage: Eukaryota; Viridiplantae; Streptophyta; Magnoliopsida; Fabales; Fabaceae
Description: Pisum sativum (pea) long non-coding RNA (PSAT_LNC009947)
Source: RNAcentral